CCUACGGGAGGCAGCAGUGAGGAAUAUUGGUCAAUGGGCGGAAGCCUGAACCAGCCAUGCCGCGUGAAGGAAUAAGGUCCUAUGGAUCGUAAACUUCUUUUGAGCGGGAGCAAUAAGGUCUACGAGUAGACCGAUGAGAGUACCGUUCGAAUAAGCAUCGGCUAACUCCGUGCCAGCAGCCGCGGUAAUACGGAGGAUGCAAGCGUUAUCCGGAUUUAUUGGGUUUAAAGGGUGCGUAGGCCGUUGUGCAAGUCAGAGGUGAAAUCGCGGGGCUCAACCCCGUGUCUGCCUUUGAUACUGUAUGACUUGAAUGUUGUUGCCGUGGGAGGAAUGAGUAGUGUAGCGGUGAAAUGCAUAGAUAUUACUCAGAACACCGAUUGCGAAGGCAUCUCACGAAACAAUUAUUGACGCUGAGGCACGAAAGCGUGGGUAUCCAACAGGAUUAGAUACCCGAGUAGUC
This 460-nucleotide ribosomal RNA is filed under the name uncultured Bacteroidales bacterium. RNAcentral describes it as "bacterial SSU rRNA". It matches the Rfam family "Bacterial small subunit ribosomal RNA", at positions 338 to 795 of the family's 1533-position model. Lineage: Bacteria; Pseudomonadati; Bacteroidota; Bacteroidia; Bacteroidales. The record is from RNAcentral.